Molecule: ribosomal RNA, 502 nt
Filed under: uncultured bacterium
Lineage: Bacteria
Description: partial 16S ribosomal RNA
Rfam family: Bacterial small subunit ribosomal RNA
Source: RNAcentral
GACGAACGCUGGCGGCGUGCCUAAUACAUGCAAGUCGAACGAACCGCGACUAAGUGCUUGCACUCAGUCAAGGUGAGUGGCGAACGGGUGAGUAACACGUGGGUAACCUACCUCAUAGUGGGGGAUAACAGUCGGAAACGACUGCUAAUACCGCAUAGGACAUAGGAUCACAUGAUCCAGUGAGGAAAGGUGGCGCAAGCUAUCGCUAAGAGAUGGACCCGCGGUGCAUUAGCUAGUUGGUAGGGUAACGGCCUACCAAGGCGAUGAUGCAUAGCCGACCUGAGGGGGUGAUCGGCCACAUUGGGACUGAGACACGGCCCAAACUCCUACGGGAGGACGCAGUAGGGAAUCUUCCGCAAUGGAGGCAAGUCUGACGGAGCAACGCCGCGUGAGUGAAGAAGGUCUUCGGAUCGUAAAGCUCUGUUGUUAGAGAAGAACAGCGCAUAGAGUAACUGCUAUGCGUGUGACGGUAUCUAAACAGAAAGCCACGGCUAACUACGUG